Molecule: ribosomal RNA, 473 nt
Filed under: uncultured bacterium
Lineage: Bacteria
Description: bacterial SSU rRNA
Rfam family: Bacterial small subunit ribosomal RNA
Source: RNAcentral
ACUCCUACGGGAGGCAGCAGUAGGGAAUCUUCCACAAUGGGCGCAAGCCUGAUGGAGCAACACCGCGUGAGUGAAGAAGGGUUUCGGCUCGUAAAGCUCUGUUGUUAAAGAAGAACACGUAUGAGAGUAACUGUUCAUACGUUGACGGUAUUUAACCAGAAAGUCACGGCUAACUACGCGCCAGCAGCCGCGGUAAUACGUAGGUGGCAAGCGUUAUCCGGAUUUAUUGGGCGUAAAGAGAGUGCAGGCGGUUUUCUAAGUCUGAUGUGAAAGCCUUCGGCUUAACCGGAGAAGUGCAUCGGAAACUGGAUAACUUGAGUGCAGAAGAGGGUAGUGGAACUCCAUGUGUAGCGGUGGAAUGCGUAGAUAUAUGGAAGAACACCAGUGGCGAAGGCGGCUACCUGGUCUGCAACUGACGCUGAGACUCGAAAGCAUGGGUAGCGAACAGGAUUAGAUACCCUGGUAGGAUAGCG